CGGACGGGUGAGUAAUGUCUGGGAAACUGCCUGAUGGAGGGGGAUAACUACUGGAAACGGUAGCUAAUACCGCAUAACGUCGCAAGACCAAAGAGGGGGACCUUAGGGCCUCUUGCCAUCGGAUGUGCCCAGAUGGGAUUAGCUAGUAGGUGGGGUAACGGCUCACCUAGGCGACGAUCCUUAGCUGGUCUGAGAGGAUGACCAGCCACACUGGAACUGAGACACGGUCCAG
RNAcentral lists this ribosomal RNA (232 nucleotides) under uncultured bacterium. RNAcentral describes it as "partial 16S ribosomal RNA". It matches the Rfam family "Bacterial small subunit ribosomal RNA", at positions 99 to 334 of the family's 1533-position model. The record is from RNAcentral.